CUGCUGCCUUCCGUAGGAGUCUGGACCGUGUCUCAGUUCCAGUGUGGCUGGUCAUCCUCUCAGACCAGCUAGGGAUCGUCGCCUAGGUGAGCCGUUACCCCACCUACUAGCUAAUCCCAUCUGGGCACAUCCGAUGGCAAGAGGCCCGAAGGUCCCCCUCUUUGGUCUUGCGACGUUAUGCGGUAUUAGCUACCGUUUCCAGUAGUUAUCCCCCUCCAUCAGGCGGUUUCCCAGACAUUACUCACCCGUCCGCCA
This 255-nucleotide ribosomal RNA is filed under the name uncultured bacterium. RNAcentral's name for it is "partial 16S ribosomal RNA". The record is from RNAcentral.